Molecule: ribosomal RNA, 253 nt
Filed under: uncultured bacterium
Lineage: Bacteria
Description: partial 16S ribosomal RNA
Rfam family: Bacterial small subunit ribosomal RNA
Source: RNAcentral
UACGUAUGGUGCAAGCGUUAUCCGGAAUGACUGGGUGUAAAGGGAGCGUAGACGGUUGUUCAAGUCUGAUGUGAAAGCCCUCGGCUUAACUGGGGGAGUGCAUUGGAAACUGAAGGACUAGAGUAUCGGAGAGGCAAGUGGAAUUCCUAGUGUAGCGGUGAAAUGCGUAGAUAUUAGGAGGAACACCAGUGGCGAAGGCGGCUUGCUGGACGAAAACUGACGUUGAGGCUCGAAAGCGUGGGGAGCAAACGGG